This is a long non-coding RNA of Larimichthys crocea (large yellow croaker), 269 nucleotides long. RefSeq lists it as uncharacterized. The transcript is spliced from 4 exons. The record is from RefSeq and is a predicted model, not a curated record. Lineage: Eukaryota; Metazoa; Chordata; Actinopteri; Sciaenidae.
UAUCUCAAUGACUCCCCCCUUGUGGUCCGACGACGCACAAGGUUUGGUGUAGGGAGCCAAGGGCAAGGCACUGGCCGACGCAUGUCACUCAGGCAAUCACCCCCCGUUUUGCACCCCUGGAAGGGUUAGGGUUAGGGUUAGGGCUAGGGUUAGGGUUAGGUUAGGGGAACUAUCUCAAUGACUCCCCCCUUGCGGUCCGACGACGCACAAGGUUUGGUGUAGGGAGCCAAGGGCAAGGCACUGGCCGACGCAUGUCACUCAGGCAAUCA